GACGAACGCUGGCGGCGUGCUUAACACAUGCAAGUCGAACGGUAAGGCCCUUCGGGGUACACGAGUGGCGAACGGGUGAGUAACACGUGGGUGAUCUGCCCUGCACUUCGGGAUAAGCCUGGGAAACUGGGUCUAAUACCGGAUAGGACCACUGCCUGCAUGGGUGGUGGUGGAAAGCUUUUGCGGUGCGGGAUGGGCCCGCGGCCUAUCAGCUUGUUGGGGGGGUGAUGGCCUACCAAGGCGACGACGGGUAGCCGGCCUGAGAGGGUGACCGGCCACACGGGGACUGAGAUACGGCCCAGACUCCUACGGGAGGCAGCAGUGGGGAAUAUUGCACAAUGGGCGCAAGCCUGAUGCAGCGACGCCGCGUGAGGGAUGACGGCCUUCGGGUUGUAAACCUCUUUCAGCACCGACGAAGCGCAAGUGACGGUAGGUGCAGAAGAAGGACCGGCCAACUACGUGCCAGCAGCCGCCGUAA
This 478-nucleotide ribosomal RNA is filed under the name uncultured bacterium. RNAcentral's name for it is "partial 16S ribosomal RNA". It matches the Rfam family "Bacterial small subunit ribosomal RNA", at positions 28 to 523 of the family's 1533-position model. The record is from RNAcentral.